AUGGGAGCAGCAGCGAGCUCAGCAAGGCUCGGGUGCCGACCGGGAGAAGCAGGAGGCAGCGGCAUCAGGGAACGACCGGUGGACGGAGCAGCUCCAGGGAGCAGGGGACGGUCGGCGGUCGGGACGAACGGAUCAGUCCCUCUCCCGCCGGAUCUGGUGGUAGCUGCGGCUAGGUGGCAUGGGGUCGAGGGCGACGGGGACAAGACCAGCUGCUCCGGCGCAGUCGAGAUGGCAGUGGGGCUCGGGCUCCUGGCGUCGGAGAUGAGAGGGAGGAGGAGCGGCGAUGUGGCGGAGGAGAGGAGGCCAGAGCAAGGGAAGGAGGGUGACACAGAGGUGAGGCACGGGGCAGCAAUGUGCCGAAGGACGGCGGGGAUGAGGGAGCUCCUCUCCCUGGCGCGAGGAGGGAGACGAGUGGAGGACAAAAGAGGAUCGAGCCGAGGCUCUCCCUGGCGGCGCAAGCGAGGGGGAAUGAGGAGUGAUGGGGAUCGAUCCGGGGUGGCGACUCCUCGGUGA
RNAcentral lists this ribosomal RNA (513 nucleotides) under Triticum aestivum (bread wheat). Its description in RNAcentral is "partial small subunit ribosomal RNA". The record is from RNAcentral. Lineage: Eukaryota; Viridiplantae; Streptophyta; Magnoliopsida; Poales; Poaceae.